UGUUGGGCAUCUUCGGGUUCUCCUCUCC
Molecule: small RNA, 28 nt
Filed under: Bombyx mori (domestic silkworm)
Lineage: Eukaryota; Metazoa; Arthropoda; Insecta; Lepidoptera; Bombycidae
Description: ovarian small RNA-36174
Source: RNAcentral